GAUGAAGAACGUAGCGAAAUGCGAUAAGUAAUGUGAAUUGCAGAAUUCAGUGAAUCAUCGAAUCUUUGAACGCACAUUGCGCCCGUUAGCAUUCUAGCGGGCAUGCCUGUCCGAGCGUCAUUUCAACCCUCAGGGUCCCCGUUCCGGCGGGGAACCUGGUGUUGGGGAUCGGCCCGCCCCGUGCGGCGCCGUCCCCCAAAUUCAGUGGCGGUCUCGCUGCGGCCUCCCCUGCGUAGUAGUUACAACCUCGUAUCGGAGCUCAGCGCGGCCACGCCGUAAAACCCCCGACUUUCUGAACGUUGACCUCGGAUCAGGUAGGAAUACCCGCUGAACUUAAGCAUAUCAAUAAGCGGAGGA
Molecule: unclassified non-coding RNA, 357 nt
Filed under: soil metagenome
Description: partial contains 5.8S ribosomal RNA, internal transcribed spacer 2, and large subunit ribosomal RNA
Rfam family: 5.8S ribosomal RNA (bases 1-120)
Source: RNAcentral